Molecule: ribosomal RNA, 468 nt
Filed under: uncultured bacterium
Lineage: Bacteria
Description: partial 16S ribosomal RNA
Rfam family: Bacterial small subunit ribosomal RNA
Source: RNAcentral
GACGAACGCUGGCGGCGUGCUUAACACGUGCAAGUCGAACGGAAAGGCCCUGCUUUUGUGGGGUGCUCGAGUGGCGAACGGGUGAGUAACACGUGAGUAACCUGCCCUUGACUUUGGGAUAACUUCAGGAAACUGGGGCUAAUACCGGAUAGGAGCUCCUGCUGCAUGGUGGGGGUUGGAAAGUUUCGGCGGUUGGGGAUGGACUCGCGGCCUAUCAGCUUGUUGGUGGGGUAGUGGCUUACCAAGGCUUUGACGGGUAGCCGGCCUGAGAGGGUGACCGGCCACAUUGGGACUGAGAUACGGCCCAGACUCCUACGGGAGGCAGCAGUGGGGAAUAUUGCACAAUGGGCGGAAGCCUGAUGCAGCAACGCCGCGUGCGGGAUGACGGCCUUCGGGUUGUAAACCGCUUUCGCCUGUGACGAAGCGUGAGUGACGGUAAUGGGUAAAGAAGCACCGGCUAACUACGUG